Molecule: ribosomal RNA, 1056 nt
Filed under: Triticum aestivum (bread wheat)
Lineage: Eukaryota; Viridiplantae; Streptophyta; Magnoliopsida; Poales; Poaceae
Description: partial small subunit ribosomal RNA
Source: RNAcentral
AUGCUGUUCACAUUCUCUCUCCGAGAUGAUGCUCGUGCUUGGUAUCGAUCCUUGCCAUCAAGAUCAUUCAGUUGGAACAAGAUAUCACGAGCUUUCUUGGAUAAAUAUUUCCCACUACACAAGCAGUCUACAAUUCGAGAUGAGAUCUUCAGCUUCGUUCAGCGUGAAGCGGGUGGAGCUAUUACAAACAAGACACUUGAUGAUGCUUUUCUGCUGAUUGAGAGCAUAGCUUUCGACCAACUUCAGUGGUACAAUGAGAAGCCCACCUCUGAUUCAUUGGUUUGCUUGCAACAAAUCACUACACCUCAGCCACCAAUUGUUACACAAAAGCCUGAACCACUAUACUACAAUGACAAGAUUGAGCUUGCAUGGAUUAUCUUUGACGAUGAUGAUACCAUUCUAGUUGACACACACGCUACAGAUCAUAUGGAUACUAGUGUUGGAGAUUUAAUUUUGCAUUGUGAUGAUUCUUCCAUGGAUGAGCCAGAGCUGCAGUUAGUUGUUUUUGAUAUUGAGGAGUCACCUUUAGUUGAUAUUGAUCAUGUGCUGCUAGAGCCAGAUAUGGAGAAGUUCAGCUUCAAUGAUGUUAGCCGCAUUGAUUCCUCAACACUUGAGCCUGAGAUGGAGAGCUUCAUGGUUAAUUAUGAUGAGGUGGAUUCAGAUGUCAAGGAGCCAAGCUCUACUAUUUCACUUGUUGACACGAGUCCGGUGGAAAUUUCUACAACCACACCUCACUUGGUAUCUUCAAUUGAGGUAGCCCUGAAGCUUCUUCCUAACUAUCUCAGGUAUUAUCUCAGCUUUCUGGACAAGUUAUGUCAUAUCGCUGAUAUUGCCUAUGCACCAUGUGACUUGUUGAUACAUGUUCCUGAUUUGCUCAAUAGAUAUACUUAUAUGAUAGGGUACUCUAUCGAUGACUUAGAGGGCAUUCUCUCUGUCACUUGUAUUGGCUUGCUUGUUGAGUGUUCUUUCAGGUUGAUGCUUGUGCACCAUUUACUGCGAGUUGACCGAGUUCGAGAUGACAUUCCCUGGGACCCCGGUGGAUUCACGGCAUGGUGA